Molecule: ribosomal RNA, 517 nt
Filed under: uncultured bacterium
Lineage: Bacteria
Description: bacterial SSU rRNA
Rfam family: Bacterial small subunit ribosomal RNA
Source: RNAcentral
CCAACACUUGACAUGUUCGUCGCGACUUUGAGAGAUCAAAGUUUUCGGUUCGGCCGUACGAAACACAGGUGCUGCAUGGCUGUCGUCAGCUCGUGUCGUGAGAUGUUGGGUUAAGUCCCGCUACGAGCGCAACCCUCACGUUUAGUGGCCAUCAUUAAGUUGGGCACUCUGAAAGAACUGCCAGUGAUAAGCUGGAGGAAGGUGGGGAUGACGUCAAGUCCUCAUGGCCCUUACGUGUUGGGCUACACACGUGCUACAAUGGUAUCUACAACAGGAAGCAAGACUGCGAAGUUAAGCAAAUCCUUAAAAGAUACCUCAGUUCGGAUUGCACUCUGCAACUCGAGUGCAUGAAGCUGGAAUUACUAGUAAUCGUGGAUCAGCGUGCCACGGUGAAUGCGUUCCCGGGUCUUGUACACACCGCCCGUCACACCAUGGGAGUUGGUUCUACCUUAAGGCAAGGUUUUAAACCCUUGACCACGGUAUAGUCAGCGACUGGGUGAAGUCGUAAGCAAGGUAA